Molecule: ribosomal RNA, 720 nt
Filed under: Triticum aestivum (bread wheat)
Lineage: Eukaryota; Viridiplantae; Streptophyta; Magnoliopsida; Poales; Poaceae
Description: partial small subunit ribosomal RNA
Source: RNAcentral
AUGAGGUUCCCCACUUUAGUGUUUGCGUGGGCUGCGGCGGUGCUGCUCGCCGUGGCCGCCUUCUCGGCGAGUACAGACGCGUCGCCUCCGCCGUCGAAGUUUCUGAAGGUUGGGUUCUACGAGCACACGUGCCCACAGGCCGAGUACAUCGUGCGCGACGCCGUCCGCCGCGCCUUCGCCCGCAACCCAAGCCUUGCCGGUGGCAUCAUCCGUAUGCAUUUUCACGAUUGUUUUGUCAGGGGUUGUGAUGGCUCGCUGCUGAUCAACUCGACGCCCGGGAACUCGGCGGAGAAGGAUUCGCAGGUGAACAACCCAAGCAUGCGUGGUUUUAAGGUCAUCGACGAGACCAAGGCAGCCCUAGAGGCGAGCGGCCCACGCACCGUCUCCUGCGCCGACGUGCUCGCCUUCGCCGCGCGCGACGGGGCCUACCUUGCCGGCGGCAUCAACUACCGUGUGCCGUCUAGUCGCCGUGACGGCCGCGUGUCUAUCGCCGACGAGGUGCUCAACAACAACGUGUCAUUCCCGACCGACGAGGUCGCGGAGCUCGUGGCCAGCUUCAAGCGCAAGGGGCUCUCCGCAGACGACAUCGUCACGCUCUCGGGCGCACACACACCAUCGGUAGAUCCCACUGCUCCUCCUUCACUCAAUGCAUCCACAACUUCUCGGGCGAAGUCGGCCGGACCGACCCGUCCAUCGACAGGUUCUACGCGGCAGAGCUGA